This 2375-nucleotide long non-coding RNA is filed under the name Bemisia tabaci. RNAcentral describes it as "lncRNA ENSASIAIIG008748". The record is from RNAcentral. Lineage: Eukaryota; Metazoa; Arthropoda; Insecta; Hemiptera; Aleyrodidae.
CCCCUGCUGACAAAAACCACGAAGGACUCGUAUUCAUACCUUUUCAACAAACGAGAUAAUAGCACGUAUGAAACACCUUACAACACGUACAACACCUAUAAUUCCUCGGCGAGUGACUUAGAUUCCGUACGAACGUUGAAAGAACCGUCGAACAAUGGACUUGAGUACAGCGAAACUCGAGGUUUGGUUCAGGGAGGCUCACCCAAUACGUCAGAGGACAAAGUCUCGUCCGAGACUGCCAAAAUUAGAGACUCGGUAGACUUGAGGGAGCUGGCAAAAGUCUUCAGCCGCGCGCUUUCAGCAUACCUCGAGGAUCCCGAAAAUUUCCGACGCGUCUUGUCUGAGGUUCGGCCAACCGAGCCCACCACACUUGUUACUCCCGCCGAGCUGACCUCCUCGGAGGACGAAGUAUUGGCAUUCUCCGAAGACACAAAAUCCUUCCUCAAAGACCCACUGCUGAGAUCACGCCAACGGUCUAUGGAGAUUUUGCAAGCACAAACUCAGAUAGUACAAGAAGCGAAAGUGGACGAAAUUACAAAUUUGAGAAAAAUAACAAAACAUCCAUACCACAACUAUCUAAUGAGUUGACCCCACCUUUCGUUUCCUAUGACGGCUCUAACUCGCUGACGGACACAGAGGCCCCCAUUCUUUUUGCCUCGGAUAUUAAUAACUUUAUCGGCAAUGUCUCUGCCACAGGCCCAGAGUACGACAACUUGUCUCGACAAGGAGAAGCGUCCGAAACCUCCUAUUUUCCCACCGCUGGAGGUGCAAGCGACCAAAGCCGGCCACGCUACGGUGGCUUCCACAACAAUUCCGCGCCAGUCACCCCCUCGUACUCACCUUAUGGAGUUGGAGUUGCGAAACAGCGCACGGGUCAGCCCAUAUCUGAGGCAACUACCCCUCAAUUUACGGUUUCCCCAAUGCUGGACUUCACCGAAACUGGAACCGAGAUUCAGACUACCUACCCCGCCACUCCUAAUUCUUAUGUCGGCGCACAAGACGUAAACAACCUGGUAUCGAACUUCAACUACGAUCAAAAUGUCGACUACGCGAGCUAUAACAACGCCGGUUUCACUGGGGCAGAAACCUCACCGACGCGCGCAACACCUAGUGGCAAAAACGAAAACCUUAUCGCAUCAGGUAGCCAGUCGUUCGUCUCCAGAGACAACUACCUGCAAUAUCAAAAUGGCUUCGGGCAGCAGCAGCCGAGGAAUCAACUCCAAGGCCCCUCCAAUACGUACAGAACACUACCCAAAGAAGCUGAAUUAGACCAAAGGUACAAGAGUGCUCAACAGAGAAAACCUGAGACUUACUUCACAGCAGCUCCCGCUUACUCUUCUCCACUGACACCCUCCAUCAACGCAGCCAGGAUAAACAACGAACUGCGGUCGUAUUACACGCCGACAGCCAACGACGUGGACGCUACAGAGGCUCCGACAACCUUCUGGUCCUCAACGCCGUCAUCCGUGCAACCGACAACAUACCACCCACCAACCACUACCGUCCUCAGAAUGACUCAGUCUCAAAGGAUGUCCGUAACGGUUAAGGGGGGUGGAUCGCCGCGGAUAUCCAACAUAGCAUCGCGUCCGUCCGAUAGUGUGCCAAGUGCCACUCAGUCGACGAGAAUCACGUCGAGGAACUACGAGACGCAGUCAACCAGGUGGGUGUCAGCGACGGCUAAACCUGAUUAUGGCCACACGUCGUUCAGGCGAUACACGCAGUCGACUUUAGCACCAUCCACGGCGCAGUCUGCCUCCACACCCGUGCCAUCCACUACGCGAGGCUUCGCAAACUCUUCCGUCGGUUUCGAGGCCAAAGCCAAAGAGAUGUUCGGCAACCUGAACGAGACUUCUGCUGAUAGACUGAUGGAUGUGAUGAACCAAGCCGAGACAAACGUUACAUUGAGGAGACUGGUGCUCUUGCUGGUGAACGACAAAGGCAGCCGAAACAAGAAGACAACAACUGAGUCCCGAUCGCAGCUGAUCGAGGCCCUGCUCAAGACCUCGGAGAAGUCCUCCUCAGCUUCGGUCAUCCACCCCAAAGUGGCGGCACCCUCAACCUCGGACAAGCAGACGAAGCACAGGAAAGAACCCCGGCGAGACGAGCUCACGGCCCGGGCCACCUCCCGAUUCACGGCCACCACCCACGCCCAGUCGCCCAGCCCGGCGUCGACGACGACGACAACGACGCCGAGGCCGACGACGAACGGCGACGCCUGGUCGACGCGGACGUCAAGGCGGACGGCGUCGACCACCACCACAACGACGAGUCCCCGGGCCAAAUACCAGUCGACUAACGAUCUGGCAACAGACUCGGAUUCACGCGCCGUCGAGCUACUGAAGUCCCUGUAUACGCUCGCCGCUAGGUGGGGCUGA